Long non-coding RNA from Triticum aestivum (bread wheat), 1627 nucleotides. RefSeq lists it as uncharacterized. The record is from RefSeq and is a predicted model, not a curated record. The transcript has 10 exons. Lineage: Eukaryota; Viridiplantae; Streptophyta; Magnoliopsida; Poales; Poaceae.
UGUUUAGAGCUCUCUUAUAAUCUAAUUAACUAUACACGGUCUCCUCCCACGGUCUACCCUCAUACACGGGACUAGAUCUUCCUCCUCUCCCCUCCCACGGUCUCCUCUUCUUCCGUUAUCUCUCUCUCGCCCCAACCCCAGAUCGAAGAAAAAUCCCUCCACAAUCUUCCUUUGGAUUAUCUCUCUCCCCCAAUUAAAAAACAAAUGGAUUAUAUCUCUCAAACGGAAGGCAUGGAUUCCAUGGGCUCAAGGAGCUUUUUGCAUCAAUAUAAUUUUCCUCAUGUGUUUUGGAUGCCUCAUGUUGAUCAGAUCGGAGGACACCAACUAUACCCAUACUCCACGAUCUUUUCCUCUUGAUUAUCUCUCUUUCCCCCAAUGUAAAACGAAUGGAUCAAAUAGAAGACAUGGAUUCCGUGUGGUCAAGGAGCUUUAUGCAUCAAAAUAAUUUUCCUCAUCUACAUCAGGUACAAUUUUGGAUUCCACAUGGAGAUCAUGUCGGGGCACACCAACUAUACCCAUCGUUACUGCUCAAGAAUCUCCCACUCUGUACGAAGGUUGUCUCUGGUCAGUUGAUGUCAUUGUUCCAUUGGUUUGUUACUCUUUUUUUCAGAUUAAAGCAUUGGAUUUGUAGCUUCCCUUGGACUAAACAAUAUAAGUUCAAAAUUAUGGCAUGAGACAUGGGGAUGCAAUUAAACUCAAUGGAGAAGGAAACCUGGAAAGGGAUGAACAGAGUAAUUAGUCUGUGUGAUGCCAUUAACCUUGACAAUAAUGAACUUAUGGGACUUGGAAUGAUACUAGAUGAAGAGCUGGCCAUCGUCGUGAUGGUGGGUUCAUAACGCUGCUGCUUCUUAGGUGGAACGUCGUCGCUUCACGGCUGGUCGAAAUGCAGCGCCAAUGCAAAGGCAGGUUUAGCCAGCCCUGAAGUUCUGCAUCUAUGCGUACAUGUGAUGGCUUUCUAGGGCGUCACGUACAUAUAUGGUUUCCAGGCAAGUCAAUUCAGUUCGUUUUGAACAAAUGGAUUGUAUCUCUCAAACGGAAGGCAUGGAUUCCAUGGGCUCAAGGAGCUUUUUGCAUCAAUAUAAUUUUCCUCAUGUGUUUUGGAUGCCUCAUGGAGAUCAGAUCGGAGGACACCAACUAUACCCAUACUCCACGAUCUUUUCCUCUUGAUUAUCUCUCUUUCCCCCAAUGUAAAAUGAAUGGAUCAAAUAGAAGACAUGGAUUCCGUGUGGUCGAGGAGCUUUAUGCAUCAAAAUAAUUUUCCUCAUCUACAUCAGGUACAAUUUUGGAUUCCACAUGGAGAUCAUGUCGGGGCACACCAACUAUACCCAUUGUUACUGCUCAAGAAUCUCCCACUAUGUACGAAGGUUGUCUCUGUAUAAGUUCAAAAUUAUGGCGUGAGACAUGGGGAUGCAAUUAAACUCAAUGGAGAAGGAAACCUGGAAAGGGAUGAACAGAGUAAUUAGUCUGUGUGAUGCCAUUAACCUUGACAACAAUGAACUUAUGGGACUUGGAAUGAUACUAGAUGAAGAGUUGGCCACCGUCGUGAUGGUGGGUUCAUAACGCUGCUACUUCUUGGGUGGAACGUCGUCGCUUCACGGCUGGUCGAAAUACAGCGCCAAUGCAAAGG